This 279-nucleotide long non-coding RNA is filed under the name Trifolium pratense (red clover). RNAcentral describes it as "long non-coding RNA (TPRA_LNC001402)". The record is from RNAcentral. Lineage: Eukaryota; Viridiplantae; Streptophyta; Magnoliopsida; Fabales; Fabaceae.
CUCCAUCUUUCUUUUCAUCAACCUUUUCUUUUCCUCCAACUCUUGCUUCCAAAUUCCCGUCAGAAUACUUACCCAAAAGUUUGGGCGUUCCAUCAGUUUUAGGAUGAAAAUUUCCAGCAUGAUUCUGAACUGCUGUAUUUCCAACUGGUCGUACCUCAGCAUGGAUUCCUUUCCCAGCAUGAUUCUGAACUGCUGUAUUUCCAACAGGUCGUACCUCGGCAUGGAUUCCUUUCCCGUCAAUCUUCUUAGCAUCAAAACCCUUAUCCUUGAGUUUUUCAC